RNAcentral lists this ribosomal RNA (253 nucleotides) under uncultured bacterium. Its description in RNAcentral is "partial 16S ribosomal RNA". It matches the Rfam family "Bacterial small subunit ribosomal RNA", at positions 524 to 776 of the family's 1533-position model. The record is from RNAcentral.
UACGAAGGGGGCUAGCGUUGUUCGGAUUUACUGGGCGUAAAGCGCACGUAGGCGGAUCGUUAAGUCGGGGGUGAAAUCCUGGAGCUCAACUCCAGAACUGCCUUCGAUACUGGCGAUCUCGAGUCCGGAAGAGGUGGGUGGAACUCCUAGUGUAGAGGUGGAAUUCGUAGAUAUUAGGAAGAACACCAGUGGCGAAGGCGGCUCACUGGCCCGGUACUGACGCUGAGGUGCGAAAGCGUGGGGAGCAAACAGG